Long non-coding RNA from Vidua chalybeata, 709 nucleotides. RefSeq lists it as uncharacterized. The transcript is spliced from 3 exons. The record is from RefSeq and is a predicted model, not a curated record. Lineage: Eukaryota; Metazoa; Chordata; Aves; Passeriformes; Viduidae.
UCCCAGUGCUACCAUUCCAUUUUGGAAGCUUCUCCACGGCCCCAGGUCAAUGCAGAGCUCUCCUGGGGGUCAGUGCCUGGCAGCACAGAAAAUCUGGAAUUCUCAGCAUCCAGGGUUCCAACAAAGAGUGCUGCAGUUUCGGGUUCAGCUCUGCAGCUUCACAUCUCUUACCUGCAAUAUCGAAACAAACCCCACCUUUCACCUUCACUGGGAGGUUGGAAAGGCUCUCAGUGGCCAGCUUUAAGGUGUGAGAACCAGAGGGGACUGGCUGUCACAGUGGGUGACAAUUCUCCUGAAUUUCCCAGAGAUAAAGAAAACAAGCACAGCAGAAACAAAAUAAAUUAAUAAAGUGAAUGAGGGUAUGAAAAUGGAAAUUACUUCAUCAAACUGCUGCAUAAAUGCAAACUGUCUGCAACAAUUGACAAGCAAAGAAAAUGAAAGAAGCUGGUCAUGAGAAAUGACAUCUGACACCAUUAUUUCUGAGGAAUGGAUCAAAUCAGAGUGUGACAAAAUAAAUAAAGUAAAUAAGGCAAAGCUGGAUGUGGCCCUGAGCAACCUGGUCCAGUGGAAGGUGUCCCUGCCCAUGGCAGGGGGUGGAACAAGGUCUUUAAGGUCCCCUCCAUCCCAAACCAGUCUGGGAUACUGACAACAAACCCAGGUGUUUUCUGCAUCAAAACUGAAACAGGAAGAAGCAGCAAACUUAAUUUUU